CGCACGGGUGCGUAACGCGUAUGCAACCUACCAUCAACAGGGGGAUAACACUGAGAAAUUGGUACUAAUACCCCAUAAUAUCUCAUGCGGCAUCGCAUGGGGUUGAAAACUCCGGUGGUUGAUGAUGGGCAUGCGUUGUAUUAGCUGGUUGGUGAGGUAACGGCUCACCAAGGCGACGAUACAUAGGGGGACUGAGAGGUUAACCCCCCACAUUGGUACUGAGACACGGACCAAACUCCUACGGGAGGCAGCAG
Molecule: ribosomal RNA, 254 nt
Filed under: uncultured bacterium
Lineage: Bacteria
Description: partial 16S ribosomal RNA
Rfam family: Bacterial small subunit ribosomal RNA
Source: RNAcentral